Molecule: ribosomal RNA, 490 nt
Filed under: uncultured bacterium
Lineage: Bacteria
Description: bacterial SSU rRNA
Rfam family: Bacterial small subunit ribosomal RNA
Source: RNAcentral
AGUUUGAUCCUGGCUCAGAACGAACGCUGGCGGCAGGCUUAACACAUGCAAGUCGAACGCAUCGCAAGAUGAGUGGCAGACGGGUGAGUAACGCGUGGGAACAUACCCUUUUCUACGGAAUAGCUCUGGGAAACUGGAAUUAAUACCGUAUACGCCCUACGGGGGAAAGAUUUAUCGGGGAAAGAUUGGCCCGCGUUGGAUUAGCUAGUUGGUGGGGUAAAGGCCUACCAAGGCGACGAUCCAUAGCUGGUCUGAGAGGAUGAUCAGCCACAUUGGGACUGAGACACGGUCCAGACUCCUACGGGAGGCAGCAGUGGGGAAUAUUGGACAAUGGGCGCAAGCCUGAUCCAGCCAUGCCGCGUGGGUGAAGAAGGCCUUCGGGUUGUAAAGCCCUUUUGUUGGGAAAGAAAAGCAGUCGGUUAAUACCCGAUUGUUCUGACGGUACCCAAAGAAUAAGCACCGGCUAACUUCGUGCCAGCAGCCGCGGUAA